Molecule: transfer RNA, 72 nt
Filed under: Ictidomys tridecemlineatus (thirteen-lined ground squirrel)
Lineage: Eukaryota; Metazoa; Chordata; Mammalia; Rodentia; Sciuridae
Description: Spermophilus tridecemlineatus (thirteen-lined ground squirrel) tRNA
Rfam family: tRNA
About the family: Transfer RNA (tRNA) molecules are approximately 80 nucleotides in length. Their secondary structure includes four short double-helical elements and three loops (D, anti-codon, and T loops).
Source: Rfam by way of RNAcentral
GGGGCUGGGGCUCAGUGGUAGAGCGCUUGCCUAGCAAGUGGGAGGCACUGAGUUCGAUGCUCGGCAACCACA